RNAcentral lists this ribosomal RNA (496 nucleotides) under uncultured bacterium. RNAcentral's name for it is "bacterial SSU rRNA". It matches the Rfam family "Bacterial small subunit ribosomal RNA", at positions 29 to 501 of the family's 1533-position model. The record is from RNAcentral.
AACGAACGUUGGCGGCGUGGAUUAGGCAUGCAAGUCGUACGCGAAAGAGGGAGCAAUCCCUUGAGUAAAGUGGCGAACGGGUGAGUAACGCGUAGGAAACCUGCCUUCGAGAUGGGGAUAACAUUCCUAACGGGGUGCUAAUACCGAAUGACACUGCGAAAUCGCAUGGUUUUGCAGUCAAAGGUGGCCUCUGCUUGCAAGCUACCACUCGAAGAUGGUCCUGCGUCCCANAGCUAGUUGGCGGGGUAAUGGCCCACCAAGGCGACGAUGGGUAGCCGAUCUGAGAGGAUGACCGGCCACACUGGGACUGAGAUACGGCCCAGACUCCUACGGGAGGCAGCAGUCGAGAGCUUCGGCAAUGGGGAAACCCUGACCGAGCGACGCCGCGUGGAGGAUGAAGGCCUUUGGGUGUAAACUCCUGUCAUGUGGGAAGAAACGCCACCGUACGAAUAGGACGGUUGGUUUGACGGUACCACAAGAGGAAGCUCCGGCUAAC